CCUACGGGAGGCAGCAGUGAGGAAUAUUGGACAAUGGGCGCAAGCCUGAUCCAGCCAUGCCGCGUGCAGGAAGAAGCAUCUAUGGUGUGUAAACUGCUUUUGUACAGGAAGAAACACUCCCUCGUGAGGGAGCUUGACGGUACUGUAAGAAUAAGGACCGGCUAACUCCGUGCCAGCAGCCGCGGUAAUACGGAGGGUCCGAGCGUUAUCCGGAAUCAUUGGGUUUAAAGGGUCCGUAGGCGGUUUAAUAAGUCAGUGGUGAAAUCUGGUCGCUCAACGAUCAAACGGCCAUUGAUACUGUUAGACUUGAAUUAUAAGGAAGUAACUAGAAUAUGUAGUGUAGCGGUGAAAUGCUUAGAUAUUACAUGGAAUACCAAUUGCGAAGGCAGGUUACUACUUAUGGAUUGACGCUGAUGGACGAAAGCGUGGGGAGCGAACAGGAUUAGAUACCCUGGUAGUCCACGCCGUAAACGAUGGAUACUAGCUGUUCGGAGCAAUCUGAGUGGCUAAGCGAAAGUGAUAAGUAUCCCACGUGGGGAGUACGUUCGCAAGAAUGAAACUCAAAUGAAUUGACGG
Molecule: ribosomal RNA, 576 nt
Filed under: uncultured bacterium
Lineage: Bacteria
Description: bacterial SSU rRNA
Rfam family: Bacterial small subunit ribosomal RNA
Source: RNAcentral